GGGAUUGUGGCUCAGUGGUAGAGUGCUUGCCUAGCAUGCAUGAGGCACUGGGUUUGACCCUCAGCACCA
Molecule: transfer RNA, 69 nt
Filed under: Ictidomys tridecemlineatus (thirteen-lined ground squirrel)
Lineage: Eukaryota; Metazoa; Chordata; Mammalia; Rodentia; Sciuridae
Also listed under: 1 other name
Description: Spermophilus tridecemlineatus (thirteen-lined ground squirrel) tRNA
Rfam family: tRNA
About the family: Transfer RNA (tRNA) molecules are approximately 80 nucleotides in length. Their secondary structure includes four short double-helical elements and three loops (D, anti-codon, and T loops).
Source: Rfam by way of RNAcentral